AUUCAGAUAGCUUAUAUUUAGAGCAUAAUAUUGAAGAUAUUAGGGAGAUUAAAUUAAUCUUUGGAUA
This 67-nucleotide transfer RNA is filed under the name Agabus uliginosus. RNAcentral's name for it is "tRNA-Phe". The record is from RNAcentral. Lineage: Eukaryota; Metazoa; Arthropoda; Insecta; Coleoptera; Dytiscidae.